This 250-nucleotide long non-coding RNA is filed under the name Physcomitrium patens. RNAcentral describes it as "long non-coding RNA (PPAT_LNC004973)". Lineage: Eukaryota; Viridiplantae; Streptophyta; Bryopsida; Funariales; Funariaceae. The record is from RNAcentral.
AUUUUGGAAAACAAGUGGCAACCAAAAUCACCGAAUCGCACUUCUGUCAAACUUACUGGAAGAUAUUUUUCAGUCUUCAAACUCGCUUAGAAUUAAUUACCUGCUAAGAAUCCCGAAGCUGACACUGAAACUCAUUGCUCGAAGCUUGUCGAAUAUGUGUUUUACUUGAAAUAUCCUUCGAUCUUGAAUGGUCGAAUAUUCUCGCACAAUCGAAAAAUCUGUCAGGCCCACUCACACUAUCACAUCUCCA